Long non-coding RNA from Globicephala melas (long-finned pilot whale), 395 nucleotides. RefSeq lists it as uncharacterized. The record is from RefSeq and is a predicted model, not a curated record. Lineage: Eukaryota; Metazoa; Chordata; Mammalia; Artiodactyla; Delphinidae.
CAGACGCUCUUUCACAUAUUUAUGGACGAUUGUUUCUUGGGAGAGAAUUGGAACCUCUCGGAUGCACUCGUACUGGCGGAUUUACUCUGUCCCGUCCUCCGUUCUUCUCUUAAGAGAGAAGUGGGAGAGGAGAGAGGAAGACUCGAGGACCCGGGGCUGCUGUCCUGAGAAGGCUAUGUGGGGUGAAUCAGAUGGAGAUGCUCACAUCGCUUUUCACUUCAGACGUCCAGCCCUGAAAAGCUCUGCCCACUCUCCCAAAGCUCGUGUGAAAACACAAGAUAGGCGGUUGUGAGUACCAUGCUGACAUGUGGACCCCUCAGGAUCUGUGAAUAGACACCACAAGAAAAGCAAGAGAAGGGGCUCUUGGCGACCUGGGUGCUGCUGGGAAUCUCUGC